This 460-nucleotide ribosomal RNA is filed under the name uncultured bacterium. RNAcentral's name for it is "partial 16S ribosomal RNA". It matches the Rfam family "Bacterial small subunit ribosomal RNA", at positions 338 to 795 of the family's 1533-position model. The record is from RNAcentral.
CCUACGGGCGGCAGCAGUGAGGAAUAUUGGUCAAUGGACGAGAGUCUGAACCAGCCAAGUAGCGUGAAGGAUGACUGCCCUAUGGGUUGUAAACUUCUUUUAUAUGGGAAUAAAAUGUUCCACGUGUGGGAUUUUGUAUGUACCAUAUGAAUAAGGAUCGGCUAACUCCGUGCCAGCAGCCGCGGUAAUACGGAGGAUCCGAGCGUUAUCCGGAUUUAUUGGGUUUAAAGGGAGCGUAGGUGGAUUGUUAAGGCAGUUGUGAAAGUUUGCGGCUCAACCGUAAAAUUGCAGUUGAAACUGGCAGUCUUGAGUACAGUAGAGGUGGGCGGAAUUCGUGGUGUAGCGGUGAAAGGCUUAGAUAUCACGAAGAACUCCGAUUGCGAAGGCAGCUCACUGGACUGCAACUGACACUGAGGCUCGAAAGUGUGGGUAUCAAACAGGAUUAGAUACCCCUGUAGUC